GGGGGAUAUUGCGCAAUGGGGGCAACCCUGACGCAGCAACGCCGCGUGAAGGAUGAAGGUUUUCGGAUUGUAAACUUCUUUUAUUAAGGACGAAAAUUGACGGUACUUAAUGAAUAAGCUCCGGCUAACUACGUGCCAGCAGCCGCGGUAAUACGUAGGGAGCAAGCGUUGUCCGGAUUUACUGGGUGUAAAGGGUGCGUAGGCGGCUUUGCAAGUCAGAUGUGAAAUCUAUGGGCUCAACCCAUAAACUGCAUUUGAAACUGUAGAGCUUGAGUGAAGUAGAGGCAGGCGGAAUUCCCUGUGUAGCGGUGAAAUGCGUAGAGAUGGGGAGGAACACCAGUGGCGAAGGCGGCCUGCUGGGCUUUAACUGACGCUGAGGCACGAAAGCGUGGGUAGCAAACAGGAUUAGAUACCCUGGUAGUCCACGCUGUAAACGAUGAAUACUAGGUGUGGGGGGACUGACCCCCUCCGUGCCGCAGUUAACACAAUAAGUAUUCCACCUGGGGAGUACGAUCGCAAGAUUGAAACUCAAAGGAAUUGACGGGGGCCCGCACAAGCAGUGGAUUAUGUGGUUUAAUUCGACGCAACGCGAAGAACCUUACCGGGAUUUGACAUCCUACUAACGAAGCAGAGAUGCAUUAGGUGCCCUUCGGGGAAAGUAGAGACAGGUGGUGCAUGGUUGUCGUCAGCUCGUGUCGUGAGAUGUUGGGUUAAGUCCCGCAACGAGCGCAACCCCUAUUGUUAGUUGCUACGCAAGAGCACUCUAGCGAGACUGCCGUUGACAAAACGGAGGAAGGCGGGGACGACGUCAAAUCAUCAUGCCCCUUAUGUCCCGGGCUACACACGUAAUACAAUGGCGGUCAACAGAGGGAAGCAAAGCCGCGAGGCAGAGCAAAUCCCCAAAAGCCGUCUCAGUUCGGAUUGCAGGCUGCAACUCGCCUGCAUGAAGUUGGAAUUGCUAGUAAUCGCGGAUCAGCAUGCCGCGGUGAAUACGUUCCCG
This 1000-nucleotide ribosomal RNA is filed under the name uncultured bacterium. RNAcentral describes it as "bacterial SSU rRNA". It matches the Rfam family "Bacterial small subunit ribosomal RNA", at positions 356 to 1376 of the family's 1533-position model. The record is from RNAcentral.